This 199-nucleotide long non-coding RNA is filed under the name Elaeis guineensis (African oil palm). RNAcentral's name for it is "long non-coding RNA (EGUI_LNC068093)". The record is from RNAcentral. Lineage: Eukaryota; Viridiplantae; Streptophyta; Magnoliopsida; Arecales; Arecaceae.
GUAUGAAUAUGCUAGAUUAAGUAGGAAAUCAUACCUUUGGAAAUGUCCAACUUUUGGGAAAAACUUUGUCAAGUUUUGAUAGAAUUUAUAUAUUUGAUUUAUCCCAUUUGAUAUUUUUAUUAGGCUUGCUAGGUUGGCUAGUCCAUCCUAUGCGCUGAUUAUGAUCUCGGGCUCGGGUCUUGACACUAUGCUCCUCCUG